GUGGAUAAAGUGCUUACUGUCCAAGUGUGAGGACUAGAACUGGGAUCCCUAGAACCCAGCUAAAGCUGCAUAUGAUGACACUCAUCUUUAAUCCCAGCAUUCCUAUGGCAAGAUAGGAGGCAGAGCAAGGAGCAACCUGAAAAGUCCAAGAGCCAGCUAGCCUGCUCUAGGCAGAGAUGAACCAAAGAGAUUCUGCCUCAUACAAGAUGGAAGCUCUCUUCUGGACAUGGACUUGCCACACACACACCCUUCAUCCUGUAAUAUGCCUGCAGAGUGUGGUAGUCUCUCAAGUGUCGCUAGCAUAUGGAUUACCUCAUUCAAGUUCAUCCACACGAUGACUCAACACUGAAGGCAAUGCUUUCCCAUUGUACAGUCACAGGAGUUCUAAUCCAUCAGCCAGUUGCAGAAGCAUCAACCGAGGAGUGGCUUUCCUAGGGACCAUCAGCGUUUCCCAAGCCUGAGGUUGGAUUCAUGGUGGCUGUUGUUUAUCCUUCAACCUCCCUUUCCAUUCACAGCCAAGCUCUUUGCCCAGUCUUUUACUGACCUCAGGUGAAGUUAGAAGAAAAUAAACGCCCCUCAAGUCAG
Long non-coding RNA from Mus musculus (house mouse), 585 nucleotides. RefSeq annotates it as predicted gene, 39045. The record is from RefSeq and is a predicted model, not a curated record. NCBI's taxonomy places the organism in Eukaryota, Metazoa, Chordata, Mammalia, Rodentia, Muridae. The transcript has 3 exons.